This 347-nucleotide ribosomal RNA is filed under the name Cryptognatha sp. CO727. RNAcentral describes it as "partial 12S ribosomal RNA". The record is from RNAcentral. Lineage: Eukaryota; Metazoa; Arthropoda; Insecta; Coleoptera; Coccinellidae.
AUAAAAUUUAAUUUGUUACUAAAUGAUUAAUAGUUAUGUUCUUUAAAGUUAAAAAAUUUGGCGGUAUUUUUUCUUUUCAGAGGAACCUGUUCUAUAAAUGAUAAACCACGAUUAAUUUAUCCUUUAAUAGAAAUUUUCAUAUCGUCGUUAUUAAUAUUUUUAUAGGAUUUAAUAUUAAUAAUUUUUUGUUAGGAAAUGAAUCAGAUCAAGAUGAAGUUUAUAUAAAGGUUGAGAUGGGUUACAAUAAUUAUAAAUUUUUGAAUUUUUAAUUUAAAAUUAAUUUGAAAUUGGAUUUGAAAGUAAUUUUUUUUAAUAUAUUAAAAAUGAUUUUAAGUUUAAAAAUAUGU